CCUACGGGGUGCAGCAGUGAGGAAUAUUGGUCAAUGGCCGGAAGGCUGAACCAGCCAUGCCGCGUGAAGGUCAGUGCCCUAUGGGCGUUAAACUUCUUUUGUGCGGGAGCAAUAAUGGUCACGUGUGGCCAGACGAGAGUACCGUACGAAUAAGCAUCGGCUAACUCCGUGCCAGCAGCCGCGGUAAUACGGGGGAUGCAAGCGUUAUCCGGAUUUAUUGGGUUUAAAGGGUGCGUAGGCUGUGAGGUAAGUCAGCGGUGAAAUGCCCCCGCUCAACGGGGUGAAGUGCCAUUGAUACUGCCAUGCUGGAAUGCGGAUGCCGUGGGAGGAAUGUGUGGUGUAGCGGUGAAAUGCAUAGAUAUCACACAGAACACCGAUUGCGAAGGCAUCUCACGAAUCCGCGAUUGACGCUGAUGCACGAAAGCGUGGGUAUCAAACAGGAUUAGAUACCCGUGUAGUC
This 460-nucleotide ribosomal RNA is filed under the name uncultured bacterium. RNAcentral's name for it is "partial 16S ribosomal RNA". It matches the Rfam family "Bacterial small subunit ribosomal RNA", at positions 338 to 795 of the family's 1533-position model. The record is from RNAcentral.